Molecule: ribosomal RNA, 504 nt
Filed under: uncultured bacterium
Lineage: Bacteria
Description: bacterial SSU rRNA
Rfam family: Bacterial small subunit ribosomal RNA
Source: RNAcentral
AUUGAACGCUGGCGGCAGGCCUAACACAUGCAAGUCGAGCGGAUGAAGGGAGCUUGCUUCCUGAUUCAGCGGCGGACGGGUGAGUAAUGUCUGGGAAACUGCCUGAUGGAGGGGGAUAACUACUGGAAACGGUAGCUAAUACCGCAUAACGUCGCAAGACCAAAGUGGGGGACCUUCGGGCCUCAUGCCAUCAGAUGUGCCCAGAUGGGAUUAGCUAGUAGGUGGGGUAAUGGCUCACCUAGGCGACGAUCCCUAGCUGGUCUGAGAGGAUGACCAGCCACACUGGAACUGAGACACGGUCCAGACUCCUACGGGAGGCAGCAGUGGGGAAUAUUGCACAAUGGGCGCAAGCCUGAUGCAGCCAUGCCGCGUGUAUGAAGAAGGCCUUCGGGUUGUAAAGUACUUUCAGCGAGGAGGAAGGCGUUAAGGUUAAUAACCUUGGCGAUUGACGUUACUCGCAGAAGAAGCACCGGCUAACUCCGUGCCAGCAGCCGCCGGUAACAC